CAGAGACCGAUAGCGCACAAGUAGAGUGAUCGAAAGAUGAAAAGCACUUUGGAAAGAGAGUCAAACAGUACGUGAAAUUGUUGAAAGGGAAGCGCUUGCAACCAGACUUGCCCGCGGGUGAUCAACCGGUAUUCUUACCGGUGCACUCGCCCGUGGUCAGGCCAGCAUCGGUUUGGGCGGCUGGAUAAAGUCCACUGGAAUGUAGCUCCUCUCGGGGAGUGUUAUAGCCAGAGGUGCCAUGCAGCCCGCCUGGACCGAGGACCGCGCUUCGGCUAGGAUGCUGGCGUAAUGGUUGUAAGCGACCCGUCUUGAAACACGGACCAAGGAGUCUAACAUCUAUGCGAGUGUUUGGGUGUCAAACCCAUGCGCGUAAUGAAAGUGAACGGAGGUGGGAACCCUCAAGGGUGCACCAUCGACCGAUCCUGAUGUCUUCGGAUGGAUUUGAGUAAGAGCAUAGCUGUUGGGACCCGAAAGAUGGUGAACUAUGCCUGAAUAGGGUGAAGCCAGAGGAAACUCUGGUGGAGGCUCGCAGCGGUUCUGACGUGCAAAUCGAUCGUCAAAUUUGGGUAUAGGGGCGAAAGACUAAUCGAACCAUCUGCUACUAGAUGGCACACAGGGCCGUGUGCCCCGGUAGUCCCCGUGCAGCGGGGGCAACAUCGUCGGUCUCUCCGGGAACGCCACUGGGCUACCCGCAGUGAGCCUCGGGCUCAUCCACAGACUAAGUGGCGGUGGCCGUGCCCUGGAGCACGGUUAGGAUAUAGUCG
This 764-nucleotide ribosomal RNA is filed under the name Acarospora fuscata. RNAcentral's name for it is "partial large subunit ribosomal RNA". It matches the Rfam family "Eukaryotic large subunit ribosomal RNA", at positions 328 to 1415 of the family's 3401-position model. The record is from RNAcentral. Lineage: Eukaryota; Fungi; Ascomycota; Lecanoromycetes; Acarosporales; Acarosporaceae.